GGGGUAUAUAGCUUUGUCUCGUUCCUUUAAGUUGCGGAACGCGUUCCACUUUCUAAAGGAACGUGUUUGGGACGUAGUGGUUGGCUCAGGUAGUUUUACGUGUUGUUUUGAACCAAAUGAGUUCGAUUCCUAGCGUGAUAUAAUUUACUAUUGUAUUUUUGUUUCAUUUAGGGCUGUCCAACUCCAACCUUAAGGCUCAUUGCAGGUCUAGGCCAAUGAGUCAAUCACCAUCUAGAUUUUUCGCCGACCGCUCACGGACGGGCACGGCGCAGUAUGCACACACACCACGAAGUUUCAUAGUCGCUUGGGACUGACGUUCCUAUGAUUGCUCCUAUAUAUGAUUCGUGUUCCACCGCAUUUGGGAACGAUGUUCCAUGAUGUUCCCGUUCCACGUUUCGGGACGAAGUUCUCGGAACGGGGAACGUGCCCAUGUUCCCGUACCCCGGCUGCU
RNAcentral lists this long non-coding RNA (451 nucleotides) under Sorghum bicolor (sorghum). Its description in RNAcentral is "long non-coding RNA (SBIC_LNC017189)". Lineage: Eukaryota; Viridiplantae; Streptophyta; Magnoliopsida; Poales; Poaceae. The record is from RNAcentral.